UACGGAGGGUGCAAGCGUUAUCCGGAUUUACUGGGUUUAAAGGGUGUGUAGGCGGACUAUUAAGUCAGUGGUGAAAUCCCGAGGCUCAACCUCGGAACUGCCUUUGAUACUAUUAGUCUUGAAUGUUGUUGAGGUGGGCGGAACGGGUCAUGUAGCGGUGAAAUGCAUAGAUAUGACCCGGAACACCGAUUGCGAAGGCAGCCCGUUAAGCAACUAUUGACGCUGAGGCACGAAAGCGUGGGGAUCAAACAGG
RNAcentral lists this ribosomal RNA (253 nucleotides) under uncultured bacterium. RNAcentral describes it as "partial 16S ribosomal RNA". It matches the Rfam family "Bacterial small subunit ribosomal RNA", at positions 524 to 776 of the family's 1533-position model. The record is from RNAcentral.